RNAcentral lists this long non-coding RNA (199 nucleotides) under Elaeis guineensis (African oil palm). RNAcentral's name for it is "long non-coding RNA (EGUI_LNC051863)". Lineage: Eukaryota; Viridiplantae; Streptophyta; Magnoliopsida; Arecales; Arecaceae. The record is from RNAcentral.
GUGGAUGGGAGCACCUCUAUCCACUUUUCCUAUAAAUAGGAGAGACUUCUUGCCUAAAAUUAAGCCUGUUCCACCCAACCUAGUGAUGUUGCUGUUACAUUCUUCCACUAGGGGUUUGAUGGUGGCUAGCGACCAACUCUCCAUGGAGGAGUUUUCUCUAACCUUUCAAUCGAUAGUAGGUCAUUAUGGGGGUGCACCU